CGGCGUGCUUCAUACAUGCAAGUCAAGGAGAACGUAACCUUCGGGUUAUUACUAAACUGGCGAACGGGUGAGUAACGCGUGGGCAACCUGCCCUAGAGAUUGGGAUAACUUCGGGAAACUGGAGCUAAUACCGAAUAAUGCAGCGGAUCCUUCGGGAUACAGUUGUUAAAGCGGGCUUCGGCUCGCGCUUUAGGAUGGGCCUGCGUCCGAUUAGCUUGUUGGUAAGGUAAAGGCUUACCAAGGCAAUGAUCGGUAGCUGGUCUGAGAGGAUGAUCAGCCACACUGGGAUUGAGAUACGGCCCAGACCACCACGGUGGGCAGCAGUAAGGAAUUUUGCGCAAUGGGGGAAACCCUGACGCAGCAACGCCGCGUGACCGAUGAAGCUUCUAGGAGCGUAAAGGUCUGUCGUAAGGGAAGAAAAGUUUAGAUAUAAAUAAUAUUUGAGCCUGACGGUACCUUACAAGAAAGCACCGGCUAACUUCGUGCCAGCAGCCGCGGUAAUACGAGGGGUGCGAGCGUUGUCCGGAAUCACUGGGCGUAAAGGGUCCGUAGGCGUUUCAACAAGUCAUUUGUUAAAGACAUCGGCUUAACCGAUGGAGUGCAUUUGAAACUUUUGAAAUAGAGUAUAGGAGAGGAAAGUGGAAUUCCUGGUGUAGCGGUGACAUGCGUAGAUAUCAGGAGGAACACCAAUGGCGAAGGCAACUUUCUGGCCUAUUACUGACGCUGAGGGACGAAAGCGUGGGGAGCGAACAGGAUUAGAUACCCUGGUAGUCCACGCCGUAAACGAUGAGUACUUGGUGUCGGGGGAUUCGACCCCCUCGGUACCGGAGCUAACGCAUUAAGUACUCCGCC
RNAcentral lists this ribosomal RNA (852 nucleotides) under uncultured Fidelibacterota bacterium. RNAcentral's name for it is "bacterial SSU rRNA". It matches the Rfam family "Bacterial small subunit ribosomal RNA", at positions 40 to 873 of the family's 1533-position model. Lineage: Bacteria; Pseudomonadati; Fidelibacterota. The record is from RNAcentral.